RNAcentral lists this ribosomal RNA (398 nucleotides) under Itaropsis parviceps. RNAcentral's name for it is "partial 12S ribosomal RNA". The record is from RNAcentral. Lineage: Eukaryota; Metazoa; Arthropoda; Insecta; Orthoptera; Gryllidae.
UAUUAUUUGACGCGUAGAAAUUGAGUACCUGAGUAGUGAUAGUUAUGAUCUUGAAACUCAAAGAAUUUGGCGGUGUUUUAGUCCUUUCAGAGGAAUCUGUCCUGUAAUUGAUAGUACACGAUUUUAUUUACUUAAUUUGGUAGAUCAAUUUAUAUACCGCCGUAGUAAGAUUAUCUUGUGGAGAGUGUAAAAUUUCUUUAUUUGUUUUUAUAAAAUAUGUCAGGUCAAUGUGUAGCUAAUGAUUAAGUAGAGAUGGAUUACAAUAAAUGUAUUUAUUAUGGAUAGUUGGUUUAAGUUAAAUUAGAAGGUGGGUUUGAUUGUAAAUUAAUCGAGGUUGGUUUUUUGAUUAUGGUUCUAAAACGAGCACACAUCGCCCGUCGCUCUCGUUUUAAAAUGAG